RNAcentral lists this transfer RNA (73 nucleotides) under Bos taurus (domestic cattle). RNAcentral describes it as "tRNA-Lys (TTT) (tRNA-Lys-TTT-28-1)". It matches the Rfam family "tRNA". From Rfam's summary of the family: Transfer RNA (tRNA) molecules are approximately 80 nucleotides in length. Their secondary structure includes four short double-helical elements and three loops (D, anti-codon, and T loops). Further hydrogen bonds mediate the characteristic L-shaped molecular structure. tRNAs have two regions of fundamental functional importance: the anti-codon, which is responsible for specific mRNA codon recognition, and the 3' end, to which the tRNAs corresponding amino acid is attached (by aminoacyl-tRNA synthetases). tRNAs cope with the degeneracy of the genetic code in two manners: having more than one tRNA (with a specific anti-codon) for a particular amino acid; and 'wobble' base-pairing, i.e. permitting non-standard base-pairing at the 3rd anti-codon position. Lineage: Eukaryota; Metazoa; Chordata; Mammalia; Artiodactyla; Bovidae. RNAcentral also lists the same sequence under 4 other names. The record is from Rfam by way of RNAcentral.
UCCUUAGUCGUCUAGAGGUUAGGACUCUGCACUUUUACUGCCGAGGACCCAGGUUCAAUCCCUGGUUGGGGAA